ACUUACUGUAAACAAAAGAAUCAUCUAGUGACCCUUCAGUAACUGCAGUGUGCUCUCUGGUGCUACAAAUACCCCUAUUGCGCUAGUUAUUGCUUUAGUGCAGACUUCCCAAGUCUCCCGGAAGUUUCGGGAGUGUCCCGCAUAUUGAUAGCGGCUCCCUGACGCCUGCAAAUUAUAUACAAUCUCCCGGAAUCUGCAAUGAGUGAGCAAGAGUGUGCGCUAGAGAGUGUCUGCGUGCUUGUAUGACUAUCAAUGCAGCGCAUGUGAGAGCAAAGCGUCCUGAUAGCGCUGUGUUGCUACUUAUUAGACCAGUCGUACCCCCCGGGACCGACAACCAGUUUGAGUUUGGUCGAUGUGUCUCCUGUAUCAGUGGUUGCCAUGAUGACUGGCUGCAGGUUCAGGUUAGAGGAGGUAAUGUUGACUUGCCUGCGGGACAUGACAUUGGGGGCGUGGCUACAUCUUCGAUUCCUCCGUUGAUUUCGAAGGUCGAGAUCGGGAGGUAAUUUUGACUAAUAUUCGAUUUACAAUCGAGAUCGUGACUCCCAUAAUGUCGCCUCAUGCUAGCUGAUCACAGCUGUUAGCCAUUGCAUUAUUGUCAAGCUCCCCCCAGAAGAAACUCAUGAGACUGUGGUAGAACCACCGAAGACUGGAGAAGAUUUACAGAAAGGAGGGACCUGAAAGAUCAGAGGUCAAAACUCUAAAGGAGUCUACAACAUUGUAAUAUAAAUGUACUUCCACCACCUGAAACUGAAGAUAGUAUGGAUGACAGCCUUUUCUUUCCAAUGAAAUGUGCAUAUAUGCUCAUUUUGAGUUGCUCAGAGACAGCUUGGAGCUCUGUAUGGAGGAAUGUAGGAGAGCCAUCACAGAAUACUUCAAAAAACCUGCCAACAAAGAUGUCAAGGAUUUCCUUUCUAAUAGUGAAGAUAAUGAAAUGGGACAUCGUAUGGUUCAGCUGUUUAUGGCAGACUUUGGAGAGAGCCGGUCUUUCUUUCAGAUAAGUCUGCCACCACAGCUGAUGUUGAGAUAACCCUCACUCUACCUGAAAGUCCUUGCCUGAUACAGCUUGUUUCAGGGCAAGUCAGUAUUGACCAUGUCAUAUCGGAGGGCAUCACACCAACUGUUUUGACAGGGCUUGCUGCUGUGUUUGCGAUCUACUGUAUCUUCAACCUUCAGUAUCUUGAAGAGGCGGACUGUACUCUGGAAUUCAUUCAGAAAGAGGAACAAAGGCCGUCUGACCACAAGGUUGUCUCCAAGAAGAUAGGUCCGAUCAUUGAGAGGACGCCUGCCACAGUCAAUACACACUACUGAAAACCCUCCCUGACUUUGAAUGGGGCCUUGUAUAGACAGUGGAUAAUACAUUGUUGCCUUGGUAUUAAGCUGA
Molecule: long non-coding RNA, 1381 nt
Organism: Scomber japonicus (chub mackerel)
Lineage: Eukaryota; Metazoa; Chordata; Actinopteri; Scombriformes; Scombridae
Exons: 5
Source: RefSeq, a predicted model, not a curated record